UAAAAGCACUUGCGUCGGAACUAAAAACGCAGCAGAAGAGGCAGGAGUUGGAUGAGUAUACAGCAGAAGAGAAAUGUUGCUAUUGUUCAGCAUCAGUUCCUUUUGUUUCAGCAGAAGUUGCGGUUUGCAAUGGUUUGGGCAGCAAAAAUGGAGGUGAUCAGAAGCACAAA
This is a non-coding RNA of Carica papaya (papaya), 170 nucleotides long. The record is from RefSeq and is a predicted model, not a curated record. NCBI's taxonomy places the organism in Eukaryota, Viridiplantae, Streptophyta, Magnoliopsida, Brassicales, Caricaceae.